AAAACACAUCAAACCAGGUGCUCCGCAGGGCGCAGCUUUAUACGACCGCAGAGGUCGAACCCUGAACAGUUGGGGCAAGUAUGGACAAAACAUUCAAGCGUGAUACAGCUCUGAAUUUGGAUUGUGAUCAAAUUUUUGACAUUACAUGGUUUUUUUUUACACAAAACAAAUGUCAAGAUUUUACAAAUUUUACAAUUAAAGAUUUCUUCUUCAAACUUUUUAAAUCUAAAAUUAAAUAGUUGACACAGCAUAGGUUUCUGACACAGAAUGAAUGUGGUCUAAUGAACUUAAAAGUUUGUUUUUGCCUUUUAGCAAUUCACUAUGCUGUUGAAUAUUAAUCCUCUCAAAAAAUGUUUGAAGAAAUUUUCUUUUUAUUUAUGAAAUCUGAAAAUGAGAAAAAUUUAACCCCCCCCCCCCCUUUUUUCACAUCCCCGUUUCCCUUUUUCCAAAACUGAUAUCAAUUCAAAUUUCUAAUGGAGUUUGCAACAAUAACUACUCUUUUAAAUACAUCAUAAAAUAUUAAAAUGUAAAAUAAAGUGCUUGUUAUCACUGAAUGGUAAAGAUUGGUUGGUAGUAAAAGUGAAUAUACAUUGUUUAUUGUAUAAAACAAUAAAAAAAACUUCAUCAGCAACAUUUU
This 637-nucleotide long non-coding RNA is filed under the name Mytilus galloprovincialis (Mediterranean mussel). The record is from RNAcentral. Lineage: Eukaryota; Metazoa; Mollusca; Bivalvia; Mytilida; Mytilidae.